This 468-nucleotide ribosomal RNA is filed under the name uncultured bacterium. RNAcentral describes it as "partial 16S ribosomal RNA". It matches the Rfam family "Bacterial small subunit ribosomal RNA", at positions 28 to 507 of the family's 1533-position model. The record is from RNAcentral.
GACGAACGCUGGCGGUGUGCUUAACACAUGCAAGUCGAACGGAAAGGCCCUGCUUUUGUGGGGUGCUCGAGUGGCGAACGGGUGAGUAACACGUGAGUAACCUGCCCUUGACUUUGGGAUAACUUCAGGAAACUGGGGCUAAUACCGGAUAGGAGCUCCUGCUGCAUGGUGGGGGUGGGAAAGUUUCGGCGGUUGGGGAUGGACUCGCGGCUUAUCAGCUUGUUGGUGGGGUAGUGGCUUACCAAGGCUUUGACGGGUAGCCGGCCUGAGAGGGUGACCGGCCACAUUGGGACUGAGAUACGGCCCAGACUCCUACGGGAGGCAGCAGUGGGGAAUAUUGCACAAUGGGCGGAAGCCUGAUGCAGCAACGCCGCGUGCGGGAUGACGGCCUUCGGGUUGUAAACCGCUUUCGCCUGUGACGAAGCGUGAGUGACGGUAAUGGGUAAAGAAGCACCGGCUAACUACGUG